CCUACGGGUGGCAGCAGUCGAGAAUCAUUCACAAUGGGGGAAACCCUGAUGGUGCGACGCCGCGUGGGGGAAUGAAGGUCUUCGGAUUGUAAACCCCUUUCAUGUGGGAGCAAAUUAAAAAGAUAGUACCACAAGAGGAAGAGACGGCUAACUCUGGGCCAGCAGCCGCGGUAAUACAGAGGUCUCAAGCGUUGUUCGGAAUCACUGGGCGUAAAGGGUGCGUAGGCUGUUUCGUAAGUCGUGUGUGAAAGGCGCGGGCUCAACCCGCGGACGGCACAUGAUACUGCGAGACUAGAGUAAUGGAGGGGGAACCGGAAUUCUUGGUGUAGCAGUGAAAUGCGUAGAUAUCGAGAGGAACACUCGUGGCGAAGGCGGGUUCCUGGACAUUAACUGACGCUGAGGCACGAAGGCCAGGGGAGCGAAAGGGAUUAGAUACCCCAGUAGUC
This 446-nucleotide ribosomal RNA is filed under the name uncultured bacterium. RNAcentral's name for it is "partial 16S ribosomal RNA". It matches the Rfam family "Bacterial small subunit ribosomal RNA", at positions 338 to 795 of the family's 1533-position model. The record is from RNAcentral.